GACGAACGCUGGCGGCGUGCUUAACACAUGCAAGUCGAACGGAAAGGCCUUUUCGGCGGUACUCGAGUGGCGAACGGGUGGGUAACACGUGGGUGAUCUGCCCUGCACUCUGGGAUAAGCCUGGGAAACUGGGUCUAAUACCGGAUAGGACCGCACUCUAGUGUGUGUGGUGGAAAGUUUUUUCGGUGUAGGAUGAGCCCGCGGCCUAUCAGCUUGUUGGUGGGGUAAUGGCCUACCAAGGCGGCGACGGGUAGCCGGACUGAGAGGUUGGUCGGGCACAAUGGGGAUGCGAAGCGGCCCAGACGUCUACGGGAGGCAGCCGUGGGGAAUAAUGCCCAAUGGGCGCAAGCCUGAUGCAGCGACGCCGCGUGGCGGAUCACGGCCUUCGGGUUGUAAACGCCUUUCGCCAGGGACGAAGCGUUUUGUGACGGUACCUGGAGAAGAAGCACCGGCUAACUACGUG
This 463-nucleotide ribosomal RNA is filed under the name uncultured bacterium. RNAcentral describes it as "partial 16S ribosomal RNA". It matches the Rfam family "Bacterial small subunit ribosomal RNA", at positions 28 to 507 of the family's 1533-position model. The record is from RNAcentral.